AGAAAAGGGGGAAAACGUUCCUCCCAAGGACU
Molecule: transfer RNA, 32 nt
Filed under: Equus caballus (horse)
Lineage: Eukaryota; Metazoa; Chordata; Mammalia; Perissodactyla; Equidae
Description: partial tRNA-Thr
Source: RNAcentral